UAAUUUAUUUAUUAAUUUAUGUUUUUAGCAAAUUUUGAUAGACCACUGACACCUCUCCUAUUUAAUUUCUAGUGAUCUCAGUCAGAAUGAUGGUUCAGUUUGUUGGUCAAGAAACUAUUUACAGUGGACUACGUGCAUCAGUCAAAGAGAUCUAUAACAAUGAAGGACUUGCUGGAUUUUUUAGUGGUAUCAUUCCUCGUCUUGUUGGAGAAGUCCUGUCCCUUUUGUUAUAUCGAGGAGCUUGCUUCUUGAUCAGCAAAUAUGCUAUUGACAGUGAGGUGAGUAUAAACAAAUCAAAAGUUUUAUGAUUUA
Pocillopora damicornis (cauliflower coral) is the source of this 312-nucleotide long non-coding RNA. The record is from RefSeq and is a predicted model, not a curated record. Lineage: Eukaryota; Metazoa; Cnidaria; Anthozoa; Scleractinia; Pocilloporidae.